Molecule: ribosomal RNA, 428 nt
Filed under: uncultured bacterium
Lineage: Bacteria
Description: bacterial SSU rRNA
Rfam family: Bacterial small subunit ribosomal RNA
Source: RNAcentral
UGAGGAAUAUUGCGCAAUGGCCGAAAGGUUGACGCAGCGACGCCGCGUGAGGGAUGAAGCUUUUAGGAGUGUAAACCUCUGUUAGGAGGGAAGAAUAAUGGCAAUUCGAACAGGGUUGUCAGAUGACGGUACCUCCAGAGGAAGCCCCGGCUAACUCCGUGCCAGCAGCCGCGGUAAUACGGGGGGGGCUAGCGUUGUCCGGAAUUACUGGGCGUAAAGGGCGCGUAGGCGGGAUAGCGAGUCAGUGGUGCAAACUUGAGGCUUAACUUCAAGCUUGCCAUUGAUACUGUUAUUCUUGAGUUCGGCAGAGGGAAGUGGAAUUCCUGGUGUAGCGGUGAAAUGCGUAGAUAUCAGGAAGAGCACCGGUGGCGAAGGCGGCUUCCUGGUCCGAUACUGACGCUGAGGCGCGAAAGCGUGGGGAGCGAACA